This is a long non-coding RNA of Triplophysa rosa, 888 nucleotides long. RefSeq lists it as uncharacterized. The transcript is spliced from 7 exons. Lineage: Eukaryota; Metazoa; Chordata; Actinopteri; Cypriniformes; Nemacheilidae. The record is from RefSeq and is a predicted model, not a curated record.
AGAUUGCGGCCUAUGAAGAGAAAUACAGGUUCUUCUGCAGGAUUUCACCUAUAAUUGCAGACUGCACAACGCUGUUAAGGCAGUUCUGGGACAUUGAGGAGCGAAGCCAUGUCUUCAGCCACCGGAGAGCACUAAAGCUUCUCUCUGCCUCAGCUGAUGAUGCUGGAACCACAAGAAGCAAGCGCACCAGUGUCUCCACUUGGUUGAAGAGCCCACGAACCUCAGGGCUUAUGUAGCAGUGGUUUCUUUUGAGCCAGCUGGCCAGAGUAGGAUCACUCUCUGUCAUGAAGAGAAGAAGCUGGUGGAAAUUUCCUUCCUCUUGGCUGUGCCCCCUCAGAGGCAAGCCCUGUUGGGUCAGGUGUCUGUGGACUUGAUUCUCUGGAUGUUGUUGGCUGUACUGAUUGUUCCUGCUCUCUAAAUGCAACAGUCUCCCCUGCCUCACCCAAGAUUUUCCAUGCUGAUGACUGUGCAGUAGAAGUGGAGUAGACCUCCUGUCAGAAAACAUCUCCAAGGUGCUACGAGUAUGAAUCCAAUGACAAGUACAAUCAAACACAACAGAUAAGUAUCGACAAAAGUAUUCAGCUAAUCAACAAACAAUGCUCAAAAUAUCAAAAUCAAUUGCACUGGCAAUAAACCCAUAAACACACUGCUUAACAAUGACAAUUUGUACCUCCUCCUCGUCAAUUCCCUGCCUUCUUCAUCACAGUUACUUUAUACAUUGCAUGCCACAUACAUAACCGAUUUUAGCUAGCUGCUGAACAAUAUCCCAAUUAGCAUUAGUCUAAAAAACGAAAUAUAAUACAUAAAACACUCGACAUGUCGACAAAACAUAAACAGAACAUCUUCCCAAACACAUAUCAAGCUUAUUUAAAAAGCUCGAAAGCAUAA